CUGAGACCCAGGCUGGUGUGGACACAAGGAAGCCCCGCCGGAGGGCCCUCUUUACAUGGGGAGGCCUGAACCCUGAGCAGUCAAGGAAGUUUUGGAAGUGAGUAGCUAUGGCUUCUCCACCUGCUCCUGCCUGGACGGCGCCCUUCAGAACUCAAGCCCAUCCAUGAGACAGCACCCACCGGGGCCAGUGAGUCACUCCAUGAAGGCCAAAGAUCACCUGGACACGAGUCUCGGGGUAACCAGCCCCCCUGCAGACCUGCAGAAGCUUGGACAGCAAGUGGGAGUCAGCAGUCAGGAAACUCGGGGGCUUUGCACCUGGAGGGAAGCCCACCUGAUAUGAAAAUGCUUUCGAAGCUUGUGGAUCGGAGAGGCCAGUGGUGUACCGGGUGGUCCAAUCGAUCAGUCAGGACGAUCAUCAGCCCCAUUUCUCAGGUGCAGUACAGCACGUCCACGUCCUCCCGACACCGUGAGUGCGGCCACACCGAAGCCAGGGGAGCAGGUGCGCUUCUCCAUAGGUCCUGGUUUAAAGCAAGCGGAAACACCACAGGCUCGGG
This 554-nucleotide long non-coding RNA is filed under the name Homo sapiens (human). Its description in RNAcentral is "non-protein coding lnc-NFATC1-1:1". The record is from RNAcentral. Lineage: Eukaryota; Metazoa; Chordata; Mammalia; Primates; Hominidae.